RNAcentral lists this long non-coding RNA (246 nucleotides) under Elaeis guineensis (African oil palm). RNAcentral's name for it is "long non-coding RNA (EGUI_LNC039234)". Lineage: Eukaryota; Viridiplantae; Streptophyta; Magnoliopsida; Arecales; Arecaceae. The record is from RNAcentral.
GAGCUGAACAAUAGAAAAGACAGUACGUGACCAUGAUUUUUGAAAAACAUAUGAUCCAUGGAUGGUAUCUUGAAAUUGACUUAGUUCAAUAGUGUCAAUCAUGUUGAAUCAUGGGAGUCAUUGCAUCUCUUAUUUGACACAAAAUCUAUCCAUGGUUAUGAACAUUACUAACACUAUCGACAUGGAUCUUAGUGUGGUAGUGUAGCAAGAAAAUGAUAUCCAAAAGUAAUCCAAACACAUGCUAUU